GGGUUAGUGGUCUAGUGGUAUGAUUCUCGCUUCGGGUGCGAGAGGUCCGGGGUUCGAUUCCCCGCUAACCCC
This is a non-coding RNA of Trichinella pseudospiralis, 72 nucleotides long. The record is from Rfam. Lineage: Eukaryota; Metazoa; Nematoda; Enoplea; Trichinellida; Trichinellidae.